RNAcentral lists this ribosomal RNA (492 nucleotides) under uncultured bacterium. RNAcentral's name for it is "partial 16S ribosomal RNA". It matches the Rfam family "Bacterial small subunit ribosomal RNA", at positions 29 to 507 of the family's 1533-position model. The record is from RNAcentral.
AGUGAACGCUGGCGGUAGGCCUAACACAUGCAAGUCGAACGGCAGCACAGUAAGAGCUUGCUCUUACGGGUGGCGAGUGGCGGACGGGUGAGGAAUACAUCGGAAUCUACUUUUUCGUGGGGGAUAACGUAGGGAAACUUACGCUAUUACCGAAUCAGCCCUACGGGUGAAAGCAGGGGAUCUUCGGCCUUUGCGCGAUUGAAUGAGCCGAUGUCGGAUUAGCUAGUUGGCGGGGUAAAGGCCCACCAAGGCGACGAUCCGUAGCUGGUCUGAGAGGAUGAUCAGCCACACUGGAACUGAGACACGGUCCAGACUCCUACGGGAGGCAGCAGUGGGGAAUAUUGGACAAUGGGCGCAAGCCUGAUCCAGCCAUACCGCGUGGGUGAAGAAGGCCUUCGGGUUGUAAAGCCCUUUUGUUGGGAAAGAAAAGCAGCAGGUUAAUACCCCGCUGUUCUGACGGUACCCAAAGAAUAAGCACCGGCUAACUUCGUG